UGAAUGCAGUGUUGCCAGAAUGGA
This 24-nucleotide non-coding RNA is filed under the name Rattus norvegicus (Norway rat). The record is from RNAcentral. Lineage: Eukaryota; Metazoa; Chordata; Mammalia; Rodentia; Muridae.